The sequence is a transfer RNA, 73 nucleotides long. It matches the Rfam family "tRNA". From Rfam's summary of the family: Transfer RNA (tRNA) molecules are approximately 80 nucleotides in length. Their secondary structure includes four short double-helical elements and three loops (D, anti-codon, and T loops). The record is from Rfam.
GCCGCUAUAACUCAGUUGGUAGAGUGUCUGGCUGUUAACCAGAUAGUCGGAGGUUCGAGUCCUCCUGGCGGCG